UACAGUGAGUUGGACAAUGUUCUUUUUAUGAGCUCUGCAAGCUGUGUUGAUCAGAAGGGAUGUUAAAAAGCAGUCGUUUCCAGACAUUUCUAGUUCACUUAGUAGUUGUUGAUAAAUGUAAACCAGUUGUUCUGCAACGGAUACCUGCACACCCUCAACUACCAAUUUCACCAGCUGUACAGGGUCUUGCUGAGUUUCUUUGGACCUCACGAAGCCCAAAAUGAUGAGGCUGGCCUGGAACUUAUCAUGGUCCUGCCUCAGCCUUCUGAGCUGCUGGGAUUACAAGCUAUCAUUUGUGAAACAGUAUGGCUCCUCCUUUUGGAGGGCAAUCAAGGCUCUGCCUGGAUUCAGUGGAGGUUCAUGGGAUGCCUCCAUGUGCCCUGCUCCAGGCGUGCUCUGUGGAGGUGUGCAGUGGAGGAAGCCAGGCAAGACCAACAUGGCAGUAGGGUGGAUGAAGGCAUCCUGGGUUUGACUGCUGCUGCUUCUCAGACCAUCUGAAUGAAGGACAAGGUUUUGUUUUUUCAUUUUUGACUUGUUGAGGGCUGAUGAGGGGUGCUGUUUCCAUGGCAAGUAUGCAGCUCCUACAACAUGCACUUCACCAAGAACUUGACAGCACCCUAAAUGGCUUGGGCUCUGUUCUAUGACAGAAGUCCCCUGACAUGUCCUUGGACAAUAAGGCAGCAUCAAAGUGAUAAGCUUUUUAAAAAAAUGUUUACUCUUUUUUUUUUUUUAAUUUUUAAGGUGUAAUUGGACUCAAUGCCUUUAUUUUAUUUACUUGUUUUUAAUGUGGUGCUGAGGAUCAAACCCAGGGCCUUGCACGUGCUAGGCGAGCGCUCUACCACUGAGCCACAGCCCAGCCCAAAAUGUCUACUCUUAAUGUGUGUACUGAUGAUGUCAUAGACUGACAGGAAAUAGUUGAUGGAUUGGAAUCAGGAGUAGCUCUAAACUGAAGGAGAAAAAAUGUUCAGUGCAGUGAUCCACAACUGGUACCCUGAAGGGAUCAAAGUGGCACUGAAGAUCAAAAAUAAGAAUGACGGGGGCUGGGGCUGUAGCUCAGUGGGAGGGCACCUGACUAGCAUGGGUGAGGCGCUGGGUUCGAUCCUUAGCACCCCAUAAAAUGAAACAAAUAAAUAAAGGCAUUCUGUCCAUCUAUAACUACAGAAGUAAUAAUAAUAAUAAAAAAAAGAAUGGACAGACACAUGAAAUGGAGAUAAACCAGGUGUUUCUAAUGAUGUACAAAAACAAACAAGCCUCACUGGUCAUUUUUGGAGGUUGCUGGUACAAUUUGAUGUUCUA
Molecule: long non-coding RNA, 1296 nt
Organism: Marmota monax (woodchuck)
Lineage: Eukaryota; Metazoa; Chordata; Mammalia; Rodentia; Sciuridae
Exons: 3
Source: RefSeq, a predicted model, not a curated record